Molecule: ribosomal RNA, 496 nt
Filed under: uncultured bacterium
Lineage: Bacteria
Description: partial 16S ribosomal RNA
Rfam family: Bacterial small subunit ribosomal RNA
Source: RNAcentral
AUGCACGCUGGCGGCGUGCCUCAUACAUGCAAGUCGAGCGAACAGACGAGGAGCUUGCUCCUCUGACGUUAGCGGCGGACGGGUGAGUAACACGUGGAUAACCUACCUAUAAGACUGGGAUAACUUCGGGAAACCGGAGCUAAUACCGGAUAAUAUAUUGAACCGCCUGGUUCAAUAGUGAAAGACGGUUUUGCUGUCACUUAUAGAUGGAUCCGCGCCGCAUUAGCUAGUUGGUAAGGUAACGGCUUACCAAGGCAACGAUGCGUAGCCGACCUGAGAGGGUGAUCGGCCACACUGGAACUGAGACACGGUCCAGACUCCUACGGGAGGCAGCAGUAGGGAAUCUUCCGCAAUGGGCGAAAGCUUGACGGAGCAACGCCGCGUGAGUGAUGAAGGUCUUCGGAUCGUAAAACUCUGUUAUUAGGGAAGAACAAAUGUGUAAGUAACUAUGCACGUCUUGACGGUACCUAAUCAGAAAGCCACGGCUAACUACGUG